RNAcentral lists this ribosomal RNA (491 nucleotides) under uncultured bacterium. RNAcentral's name for it is "partial 16S ribosomal RNA". It matches the Rfam family "Bacterial small subunit ribosomal RNA", at positions 29 to 507 of the family's 1533-position model. The record is from RNAcentral.
GUGAACGCUGGCGGUAGGCCUAACACAUGCAAGUCGAACUGCAGCACAGUAAGAGCUUGCUCUUACGGGUGGCGAGUGGCGGACGGGUGAGGAAUACAUCGGAAUCUACUUUUUCGUGGGGGAUAACGUAGGGAAACUUACGCUAAUACCGCAUACGACCUACGGGUGAAAGCAGGGGAUCUUCGGACCUUGCGCGAUUGAAUGAGCCGAUGUCGGAUUAGCUAGUUGGCGGGGUAAAGGCCCACCAAGGCGACGAUCCGUAGCUGGUCUGAGAGGAUGAUCAGCCACACUGGAACUGAGACACGGUCCAGACUCCUACGGGAGGCAGCAGUGGGGAAUAUUGGACAAUGGGCGCAAGCCUGAUCCAGCCAUACCGCGUGGGUGAAGAAGGCCUUCGGGUUGUAAAGCCCUUUUGUUGGGAAAGAAAAGCAGCAGGUUAAUACCCCGCUGUUCUGACGGUACCCAAAGAAUAAGCACCGGCUAACUUCGUG